RNAcentral lists this small RNA (560 nucleotides) under Pongo abelii (Sumatran orangutan). RNAcentral describes it as "retained intron". Lineage: Eukaryota; Metazoa; Chordata; Mammalia; Primates; Hominidae. The record is from RNAcentral.
CCGCGAGCGCUGCAAGGGCCGCAUCCAAAGGCAACUGGAGAUCACCGGCAGGACCACGACCAGUGAGGAGCUGGAGGACAUGCUGGAGAGUGGGAACCCCGCCAUCUUUGCCUCUGGGAUCAUCAUGGACUCCAGCAUCUCCAAGCAGGCUCUGAGCGAGAUUGAGACGCGACACAGUGAGAUCAUCAAGCUGGAGAACAGCAUCCGUGAGCUACACGACAUGUUCAUGGACAUGGCCAUGCUCGUGGAGAGCCAGGUGAGCGCCAGGCCCCCUGCCCUCCACCCCAGCCCACACCAGCACCCAGGGCUGCACUAACCUCGCCCUUUCUGCCCGACACGCUGCCCUGCCGGGGAGGGACCAAGUUCUCAGGUAACCAAUCACCCACUGUUGAAGCUGCUGCCAGGGCCCUGCCCACCUGAAGGUCCCUGUCCUCUGCAUGGCUCUGCUUGAGCUUCAAGGACCCCAGGCCCUGCAUGGCCCCACCCCCUAUACCCCGCCGUCUCCCAUUCCCCUCCUGUUUCUUCAUGGGGCCACUGUGGGCCAUGCAUUUCCCCAGAGA